Long non-coding RNA from Mercurialis annua (annual mercury), 511 nucleotides. RefSeq lists it as uncharacterized. The transcript has 3 exons. The record is from RefSeq and is a predicted model, not a curated record. Lineage: Eukaryota; Viridiplantae; Streptophyta; Magnoliopsida; Malpighiales; Euphorbiaceae.
CGAAGUUGUUCGAGAACUUGAGGAUUUUCAUCUAGGAACUUGAUGAGCCAAGUGAGAGCAGCUGUGGUGGUAUCAUGACCUGCAACUAGAAGAGUUAAUAUGUUAUCCUUCAAUUGAUUGUCAGUUCCAGGCUCAUGAUCAUGUUACCAAUUACUUUUAGAGUGAACUGCAAAAGGCAAAAGAUUCACCUACAUCUUUAAAGCCAGCACAGAAAUGCGGAAUUCAGCUAAAUAUACCAGAAGGACUGGAGAAUUCAGACAGGAAGUCGAAGCUUUCGCCGACAAUUGGCCAACCCAAGCUUCCAGGGAUAUCUUCCAUGGCUUUUGGUGAUAUCCAUAAAUGAAGCAAGAAGAAAGUUGAGAGCACAAGUAUGGUUAUGAGGAUUAAGAUCAUUAAUAUCCCAAGCUCCAUUUCUGCUAGAUACUGAAUGUUGAGGUAACUCUAAUCAUAUGUCAGGAGCUAUAUUUAUAUAGUGAUUAAAUUAAAAGAAAUAACCUAUGAAUUCUCGGCA